AGCAAUGUCUAUCCUUUCCAUCAGGAAAGCAGAAGCCUUCCUAGAAGCUCCCCGCAGAUGAUGGCUCAUUAUCCAUGAGUCAGACAGGGUCACACAUGACCAACUCUGGCUGCCAAGAAGGCUGGGUGAAGGUGUUUUUUACUCUGGCUUCUGUAGUGGAAAUGGAAGAGAGAGACUGCGAGUGGAUGCAGCAGCCGAUCAGGGUGGAUGUAAGCAUACAAAACUCGCAGUUCUAGGAGACUAACUCAGAAAAGUCAGGAAAGCAUGAUAUCAUGGAAGCCAAGGAAGAAAGGAUUUCAAGAGGAUGAGUGGUCAACCUUCAACAAGAAGUUAUUAAGCACAUUCUAUGCACCUAGAAGCAGAAAGGAAGACUGAGCCAGAUCGCGGAGUCUUCAAUAAAUGAUGGAGCAAGACAAGAAGUUUGGAAGAUGACAGCAAUGUGGAAAGAAAGUGUGCAGUAGGAGGUAGCCUCUGGACAGCUCCAUGUACAUUGUUGAUCAAGAGCUUGAAAGUGAAAAAGAACAUAAUAUUAUUAUGAAAAUAGAUUUGACCUCCUGGAACCACUUGAAAGGGUCAAAAUAAUUAUUUUUUCUAAGGGACAGCAUUUUGAGAGACUCUUUCCUUAGAGGAUCUUCUUGGUAUUAGAGGGUCAUGCCCUCUCUUCCUGAAAACUUAGGGCUCCUCCAAAGACCUGUUCUUGCUUCUCCGGGUCAAGGGUAAAGUCAAGUUUCCAAGAUUCGGAGACAUGAUUGCUUUCUGAGAACAGGUUGAAAUAAACACUUCUUGUUCUUUUUUAGUGAAACACCCACAGAACUCAUGGCAGUUUCUUAGAUUAAGCCGCUACAGAAGAAUGGUAGGUGUUAUUGGUUGAGGGUAGAUGGGGAAUGGUUUGAAAGCAACCGACAGAGAGGGGAAGAGGUGGUAAAUGAGCCCCUUGCGAGGGCUCAGGACACAUCCAUGUCCCCACUAAAGCUGGGCAGUUUGAAUCCUAUUAGACUCCACGCUGGUUUUCUCCUUGCAUAAUCUUUUCCAGAAAUUUCUCCUUCACAGUCAUAAUGUGGACUGAUAAAUGGACUUACUAGCCUCUCUCCUUUAUCUGUUUCUCCAGACUAGCAUGUCUUUCUAUCCACUUGAAAUCUUGCUAGCUGUGUGGCCUUGAGCACCUCUCUAAACCCCACUUUCCCCAACUUGCAAAAUGGGAGAUUGUGGUGGUAUCCAUCCCAGAAGACUGUGCAGGCACAUAAGAAAAUGCAUGCAAAUUCCCCAGCAUAGUUCAAGUCUGGGACACGACAGACAUUCACUUCACAUUAGUCAUUAUCAAUGGGCAUCUCUGGUGAGGCCUCUGUGAGGCCUAAGAGCUCAUUGAGGCUUCUUCUUUAAUAUAGGGCUUUUACUCUAUAUCCUCUCGAUAGUCCUUUAAUGGCCUCCGCCAUGCUACUGAUUCCCAUUUUGUGUGUAUCAUAUCAGGGGCUGGGAAGCCUGCGAGCAUCUCCUUGCUGUGCCUGCAUCUUCUGUAUUUAUCUGAUUAUCUUUGUCUGCAAGCACCAGCCAUCACCAUCCCAUCCGCAUGUCUCUUUGCUUUCUUGCUGUUUCUCCUCAUUCAUUUUAAACCACGACUGGCUUUAGGCCCAUAGUAAAAUCACCAUGGGUUACAAAGCAAGUUCAGAAACACAAAGCCAUUUCUAUAUGGAUCAUUUCUGCUGAACCACUUUCACCCUGGCUUGUUGGGAUUGGGGGAGAGUGAUUGUGGCCACAACGGCUGCAGUUCUGCCCCCCCUUCC
Long non-coding RNA from Neogale vison (American mink), 1781 nucleotides. RefSeq lists it as uncharacterized. Lineage: Eukaryota; Metazoa; Chordata; Mammalia; Carnivora; Mustelidae. The transcript is spliced from 4 exons. The record is from RefSeq and is a predicted model, not a curated record.